ACUCCACGCAACUGUUGCUUUCACAUGAUCUUCAGGAAUGUAACUGGGAUAAUUGUCCAAAUUGAAUCCCAUACCCUGUCAUGGUACUGAUUAUUAAGGUGACUAUAUGAAAGGAUCACUCCAAAAUAACAGGAAUCUUGAGGAACCCAUUAAUGUAAAGCUGCGGCCAGAGUUCCAUGAGGAGGCAGAAUGUUCUAGAUGAUCCCUGUCUCUUCUCCAUUGAGGAAGUCGUUUCUUGCCUCUCUGUAAGCUCAGUUAAUCAUACCAGAAUAGGAGUCCUGUCUUAACUGAGCAAUAUACACUAUGGAGAGAUCCUUCAAAACCCGUCGGGACGAAUAACAGAUGAAUUCAUAAAACUGUUCAUCUCUGUUAUCCUGAAUGGUCACUCAGACAACAUUUUACUCAACUAUAAAGGGGAACACUUAAAGUGCAUAUGAGAAGAGAAGAGAAUGACCACAGGAGAAAAUCAUCUCAGCUUUCUCCACCCAGGGCAAAGGCAACAACAACAAACGUCCUAUACUCAAGCCGACUGACCUCAUCUCGUUCCACCCCACCUCAUCCAAUCAGAAAUCUCACACGCUCCAGGCCACGAUUUCCUAACCAGAAUCUGUAAGAGAGAUUCCAAGAACUUGGGAGAAGCAUAUUGUGUGAUGUUCUAUAUUUAUGAGACCCAUAGCAAACUGUGAAGAGAUAACAGAAUGCUUUUUGCGUGAGCUGAAACAGUAGAUGAAAUCUUUCAUUAAAAUUACUCAUACUUUGGGUCCUAUUCUUAUUUAUAAAUAAAUAUUAUUGCAAACA
RNAcentral lists this long non-coding RNA (798 nucleotides) under Mus musculus (house mouse). RNAcentral's name for it is "Mir99a and Mirlet7c-1 host gene". The record is from RNAcentral. Lineage: Eukaryota; Metazoa; Chordata; Mammalia; Rodentia; Muridae.